RNAcentral lists this ribosomal RNA (447 nucleotides) under Chitinophaga sp. RNAcentral's name for it is "bacterial SSU rRNA". It matches the Rfam family "Bacterial small subunit ribosomal RNA", at positions 27 to 467 of the family's 1533-position model. Lineage: Bacteria; Pseudomonadati; Bacteroidota; Chitinophagia; Chitinophagales; Chitinophagaceae. The record is from RNAcentral.
GGAUGAACGCUAGCGGCAGGCCUAAUACAUGCAAGUCGAGGGGCAGCACAGGUAGCAAUACUGGGUGGCGACCGGCAAACGGGUGCGGAACACGUACGCAACCUUCCUUUAAGAGAUGAAUAGCCCGAAGAAAUUCGGAUUAAUGCAUCGUAAGAUUGUGGGAUGGCAUCAUCCAGCAAUUAAAGAUUUAUUUCGCUUAAAGAUGGGCGUGCGCCUGAUUAGGUAGUUGGUGAGGUAACGGCUCACCAAGCCGACGAUCAGUAACUGGCGUGAGAGCGCGACCAGUCACACGGGCACUGAGACACGGGCCCGACUCCUACGGGAGGCAGCAGUAAGGAAUAUUGGUCAAUGGACGCAAGUCUGAACCAGCCAUGCCGCGUGAAGGAUGAAAGCCCUCUGGGUUGUAAACUUCUUUUAUCUGGGAAGAAACCACCUUUUUCUAAGGGU